Molecule: long non-coding RNA, 2972 nt
Filed under: Olea europaea subsp. europaea
Lineage: Eukaryota; Viridiplantae; Streptophyta; Magnoliopsida; Lamiales; Oleaceae
Source: RNAcentral
AAACAAGAGAAAAAGAAAAAAGGGAUUGGGUGAGGAUAUAUCAUUUCAGUUUUUGUUGAAAGUUAAGUUUGUUUUCGUUGCAGCAGCAUAGCAAAACAGGAUUUGACUAUUUCAGUUAGUUUUAGGUAUGUUUACUGUGAAUUAACAAUACAUAAUUCAUUGUUUAGCUUACAAUUUUAUAUACUUUUCACUGUUUUCUUUAAUCUUCAAACCAUGAAAAAUAUGGGUUAGUUUGAACAGAUCGUAUGUGGGUUUUGGAAUAUUUGCUUCUCUGUGAAAUAAUUUUAUAUAUUCUUUAGUUUUAUUUAAUAUAGAACAUAUGUUUAUUUUUUCUUGCUAUAGGUAGGUUUUUAUUUUUUCUACCUUGUUAGAUCUUUGUUUUUAGUGUUUAGUGAUUAGUGAGGAUUACAUAAAAAUAUUUCUGGGAAUGUUUGACGUUCAGUAGGAUUUUGUUGUGAUUUGCAUUUUUGAAGAGAAUUAUUUAUUUUGGGAAAAUUGUUUAAGAUUACAUAUAAAAUGAGAAGCCGAGAAAAAGAAAAUAAGAAAAAAAAAAUAGGAAACGUUGUUUAGGAUUAUAUGUUAAAAAAAAAAAGAAGCUGAGAAAAAGAAAAUAAGAGGAAAAGAGGAAAAGAAGGAAAAAAGAUUGGAUCAGGAUAUAUAAUUUCAAUUUUUGCUGGAGAUAAAAUUUAUGUUUGUUGCAUCAGUAUAGGUAAGAUUGACUAUGUAUUUUUGGGGAGAGAAAAAUAAAUUAAACAGUUAAAAAUGUUUUUAGUUAGAUUGAGAGUGGAGAAACAUGUUUGUAAUUGUCAUUUAGGCUAUAAGAAGCGAAAAAAUCAAUAGAAUAAAACUAUUUUCCUUCAAUUGAAAAUUGUAAAUAGUAUAUUUGCUUUUGUAAAUUAAUAAUUUUGGUAGAAAAUUUUUAAAUAAGGAAGAACGUUUAUUGUUUUCUAUAUUAGAUAGAAGAUAAAAAAUGAAUGAAAGGCAACAUGUGAAAUAAACAUGAAGGCUAUUUGAAGUUGCUUUUUUCAUUUCUUCUUAUACUUCUUUUGCUUAGAUAAAUAUAAGAAUCCGUGAUAUCGGAUUAGCAUAAAUAUAAAGGUCAUUAAUGAAAUAUUUCUUCAAAAUAUUUUUCGUAAAGUAGCAACAUAGAUACGUUGGACAUACUACUUACGUACUACUCAUAGAAAUAGUCUAUUAUUUAAAAGUAAAUCAAUGGUUAUUGAAAUUUACAAAUAGGAUGUGUUCAAAAUGGUUUAUUUAUAUGUUUAAAAAUGAUGAAUUGUAAAUUUUUUUUUAUUAAAUUAUAGAAAUUCAUAUGUUGUAUUUUUUAAAUUUUUACUAAAUAAGAUUAUUAAACAUUAGAAUAUAAAGUAUAAUAGUAGCUCUUAAAUUUCUUAUUAGUUUAGUUUGAAUGUUUAUCUUUUGUACUUUUAUUAAAGUGUAAUAUAUGCUAUGUUAAUUUAUGUUCUUAUAUAUUGUAAGUAAGUUAAUAUGGUUUAAACAUUUUGAUGUAGAUACUUUUGUUUUACUUUAAAAUGUAAAUGUGCUAAUAGUCUUUUUUAAUUUUUUCAGUUCCUGUCUGUUAGUUUGGGCUUGAAGUAUUCCAUAAAUUGUCUUAUUCUUAUUAUUGAUGCUUCAAAUACAUGUAAUGGAGUAAUUGGUUGUAUGAAGUUUGAAACAAUGCGUCAUCAUGAAUAAGAAAACCAAAGGCAAAGAGAUAGACGAAAUCGACUUGGAAAUGGUUGCAACGAUCGUCGUAAGAGGAUAACUUAUCCUAUGUCAUCUGAGAAUAAUAAUUUUAAUGUUGCAGAAAUGCAACAAUGUAUAAUGGAUGAUGAUUUCGAUACUUCUACUUCAAAUGAAAAGAUACCUAAUAUUUCUAAUCAUACAUUAGAAGUAAAUUUAAUGAAUUAGAUAUAGCAACAACUGCAUAUGUAUUACCGAUACGCAACAAUUGUAAACAUUAAGGUGCAAAAAGAUUUCAUAGAGAAAGUAAAGAUUUUUAUUGUUCUGAUGGAAAAGUUCAUAUCUCUAUGCCUAAUUCACCGAAUGGACUAUACAAUUUAUUCACUUCUAAAGAACCUAAAUGCAUGGAAUUUAAGAAAAUUGCAUGAGGAUUUAAUAACGAUUUUGUUUUUACUUCAUUUGGUGUAAAAUAUGACAAAGAACUCUUUAAAGCAUACAGAGGUAUUUACACAUUUAGAGUUCAAAGACAAGUAUAUCAUUAUGUAAAUGAACUCGUUCCACAGAAUAGUAUACCUCCUUAUAUACAGUUAUAUUUUUAUGAUACAGAUAAUGAACUUGAAAAUCAUAUGUAAAUUUCAGAGAAUUUUGUCUAAUGUAUUUUAAGUACUUUAAUUAAAAUCUUGAAGGUUAAUCCAUGUAGUACAUUUUUCCAAUCGUUAAGUAAUAUGACUAAUUUGCAAGACUACCGAAUACACAUAAGAUGUGAUUCAUGACUUGAUAUAAGAGUUUUUAAUACUCAUACAGCAUCUCAGGUAGUUGCUGUAUGCGUAGAAAAUGAUAAGAACGCUAAUCAUCGUCUUCAUGAUAUUAUUAUAUAUGAUAAUUCUGAUGAUUCACAUAAAAUUCAUUAUUAUUACGGUUGUAAUGAUCCUUUGCAGUAUCCAUUACUUUUUCCAUAUGGAGAAUCUGGUUGGCAUGAGGGUAUUGAAAGGUGUAGAAAAAGGUCUUUUCAGCUUGAACAUUUGUCUGAAUUUGUUGCAAUCUCUAAUACGAUUACCUUUGCAGCUGAAAUUAUUGAAAAAGAAAAUAAAGGUUUGAAAAAAAAAAUUUGUUUAUUUAUCUAAGUUUUUUAGUGUCAAUAUUGUAAAUGAUUGAUAAUUUAUUUUGCAGUACUUAAUGGAAUGAAGAAACGAUUUCAUGUUUCUUGCCGUGAAUAUUAUUCAUAUAAAUUGCAAAUUAGGUGUUACAGUAAGUCUGAUUUACUUCACAGUGGUAGAUUGUUUCAG